GACGAGCGCGGGCGGCGUGCUUAACACAUGCAAGUCGAACGCUGAAGCCUAGCUUUUGUUGGGUGGAUGAGUGGCGAACGGGUGAGUAACACGUGAGUAACCUGCCCCCUUCUUUGGGAUAACGCCCGGAAACGGGUGCUAAUACUGGAUAUUCACUGAUCUUCGCAUGGGGGUUGGUGGAAAGGUUUUUUCUGGUGGGGGAUGGGCUCGCGGCCUAUCAGCUUGUUGGUGGGGUGAUGGCCUACCAAGGCUUUGACGGGUAGCCGGCCUGAGAGGGUGACCGGUCACAUUGGGACUGAGAUACGGCCCAGACUCCUACGGGAGGCAGCAGUGGGGAAUAUUGCACAAUGGGCGAAAGCCUGAUGCAGCGACGCCGCGUGAGGGAUGGAGGCCUUCGGGUUGUAAACCUCUUUCGCUCAUGGUCAAGCCGCAACAUUGGUUGUGGUGAGGGUAGUGGGUAAAGAAGCGCCGGCUAACUACGUGCCAGCAGCCGCGGUAAUACGUAGGGCGCGAGCGUUGUCCGGAAUUAUUGGGCGUAAAGGGCUUGUAGGCGGUUGGUCGCGUCCGCCGUGAAAUCCUCUGGCUUAACUGGGGGCGUGCGGUGGGUACGGGCUGACUUGAGUGCGGUAGGGGAGACUGGAACUCCUGGUGUAGCGGUGGAAUGCGCAGAUAUCAGGAAGAACACCGGUGGCGAAGGCGGGUCUCUGGGCCGUUACUGACGCUGAGGAGCGAAAGCGUGGGGGGCGAACAGG
This 752-nucleotide ribosomal RNA is filed under the name uncultured Actinomyces sp. Its description in RNAcentral is "bacterial SSU rRNA". It matches the Rfam family "Bacterial small subunit ribosomal RNA", at positions 28 to 776 of the family's 1533-position model. The record is from RNAcentral. Lineage: Bacteria; Bacillati; Actinomycetota; Actinomycetes; Actinomycetales; Actinomycetaceae.